Molecule: ribosomal RNA, 971 nt
Filed under: Priestia megaterium
Lineage: Bacteria; Bacillati; Bacillota; Bacilli; Caryophanales; Bacillaceae
Description: bacterial SSU rRNA
Rfam family: Bacterial small subunit ribosomal RNA
Source: RNAcentral
UACGGGCCCAGGCAGGCCCGCGGUAAUACGUAGGUGGCAAGCGUUAUCCGGAAAUAAUUGGGCGUAAAGCGCGCGCAGGGCGGGUUUCUUAAAGUCUGAUGUGAAAGCCCACGGCUCAACCGUGGGAGGGUCAUUGGAAACUGGGGAACUUGAGUGCAGAAGAGAAAAGCGGAAUUCCACGUGUAGCGGUGAAAUGCGUAGAGAUGUGGAGGAACACCAGUGGCGAAAGGCGGCUUUUUUGGUCUGUAACUGACGCUGAGGCGCGAAAGCGUGGGGAGCAAACAGGGAUUAGAUACCCUUGGUAGUCCACGCCGUAAACGAUGAGUGCUAAGUGUUAGAGGGUUUCCGCCCUUUAGUGCUGCAGCUAACGCAUUAAGCACUCCGCCUGGGGAGUACGGUCGCAAGACUGAAACUCAAAGGAAUUGACGGGGGCCCGCACAAGCGGUGGAGCAUGUGGUUUAAUUCGAAGCAACGCGAAGAACCUUACCAGGUCUUGACAUCCUCUGACAACUCUAGAGAUAGAGCGUUCCCCUUCGGGGGACAGAGUGACAGGUGGUGCAUGGUUGUCGUCAGCUCGUGUCGUGAGAUGUUGGGUUAAGUCCCGCAACGAGCGCAACCCUUGAUCUUAGUUGCCAGCAUUUAGUUGGGCACUCUAAGGUGACUGCCGGUGACAAACCGGAGGAAGGUGGGGAUGACGUCAAAUCAUCAUGCCCCUUAUGACCUGGGCUACACACGUGCUACAAUGGAUGGUACAAAGGGCUGCAAGACCGCGAGGUCAAGCCAAUCCCAUAAAACCAUUCUCAGUUCGGAUUGUAGGCUGCAACUCGCCUACAUGAAGCUGGAAUCGCUAGUAAUCGCGGAUCAGCAUGCCGCGGUGAAUACGUUCCCGGGCCUUGUACACACCGCCCGUCACAACGCGAGAGUUUGUAACACCCGAAGUUCGGUGGAGUAACCGUAAGGAGCAAGCCGCC